GAUGAACGCUGACAGAAUGCUUAACACAUGCAAGUCGAUUCGAUUUACCUUCGGGUAUUGAGGAUGGCGGACGGGUGAGUAACGCGUAAGGAACUUGCCUCUUGGACUGGGACAACUGUUGGAAACGACAGCUAAUACCGGAUAUUAUGAGAUUCUCGCAUGGGAAACUUAUGAAAGCUAUAUGCGCCAAGAGAGAGCCUUGCGUUCCAUUAGCUAGUUGGUGGGGUAAUGGCCCACCAAGGCGACGAUGGAUAGCCGGCCUGAGAGGGUGAACGGCCACAAGGGGACUGAGACACGGCCCUUACUCCUACGGGAGGCAGCAGUGGGGAAUAUUGGACAAUGGGCCACAAGCCUGAUCCAGCAAUUCUGUGUGCACGAUGAAGGUCUUCGGAUCGUAAAGUGCUUUCAGUUGGGAAGAAGAAAGUGACGGUACCAACAGAAGAAGCACCGGCUAACUCCGUGCCAGCCGCCGCGGUA
Molecule: ribosomal RNA, 477 nt
Filed under: uncultured bacterium
Lineage: Bacteria
Description: bacterial SSU rRNA
Rfam family: Bacterial small subunit ribosomal RNA
Source: RNAcentral